CUUCCCAUGGCAGAUCUGAUACUAAUGAUGGCUUCUUGAUAUAUGGCGUUACUUCUCGGAUGAACUUUACUACGAACAGAAAUCAAAGAAGAAGAGUGAAAGACAACAAGGGAAGAAGCAGGAAGACCAACUGGAAGGUUAUCACAGUGUCCUGUUGGAUCUCCAUACUGGUUAAACUCAACAAAAGCCAAAGGGCAAGGAAACCUGUUGAUGUGGUACAAGCAGGUCAGCAUCCUGGGUCAGAAAGCAGGUAGAGAAAGAGAAGUGGACCUAAAGGGACAAACAGAAGACUUUCAGCACCAUUACCAAAGAAGUGCGCAUAGACAAGAGGACACUCCACUAUUAAAGGGCUGGGGAGAAAAGAAGGAACAGCAAGAGACAGGAGCCCCAUGAGAGACAAGUACUCCACAGAAAC
This is a long non-coding RNA of Camelus dromedarius (Arabian camel), 415 nucleotides long. RefSeq lists it as uncharacterized. The record is from RefSeq and is a predicted model, not a curated record. The transcript has 3 exons. NCBI's taxonomy places the organism in Eukaryota, Metazoa, Chordata, Mammalia, Artiodactyla, Camelidae.